RNAcentral lists this transfer RNA (73 nucleotides) under Camelus bactrianus (Bactrian camel). It matches the Rfam family "tRNA". From Rfam's summary of the family: Transfer RNA (tRNA) molecules are approximately 80 nucleotides in length. RNAcentral also lists the same sequence under 2 other names. Lineage: Eukaryota; Metazoa; Chordata; Mammalia; Artiodactyla; Camelidae. The record is from Rfam by way of RNAcentral.
GAGGGUAUAGCUCAAGUGGUAGACCAUAUGCUUAGCAUGCACAAGGUCCUGGGUUCAAUCCCCAGUACCUCCU